AGUGAACGCUGGCGGUAGGCCUAACACAUGCAAGUCGAACAGCAGCACAGUAAGAGCUUGCUCUUACGGGUGGCGAGUGGCGGACGGGUGAGGAAUACAUCGGAAUCUACUUUUUCGUGGGGGAUAACGUAGGGAAACUUACGCUAAUACCGCAUACGACCUACGGGUGAAAGCAGGGGAUCUUCGGACCUUGCGCGAUUGAAUGAGCCGAUGUCGGAUUAGCUAGUUGGCGGGGUAAAGGCCCACCAAGGCGACGAUCCGUAGCUGGUCUGAGAGGAUGAUCAGCCACACUGGAACUGAGACACGGUCCAGACUCCUACGGGAGGCAGCAGUGGGGAAUAUUGGACAAUGGGCGCAAGCCUGAUCCAGCCAUACCGCGUGGGUGAAGAAGGCCUUCGGGUUGUAAAGCCCUUUUGUUGGGAAAGAAAAGCAGUAGGUUAAUACCCCGCUGUUCUGACGGUACCCAAAGAAUAAGCACCGGCUAACUUCGUG
This 492-nucleotide ribosomal RNA is filed under the name uncultured bacterium. Its description in RNAcentral is "partial 16S ribosomal RNA". It matches the Rfam family "Bacterial small subunit ribosomal RNA", at positions 29 to 507 of the family's 1533-position model. The record is from RNAcentral.